GUGUCAGCAGCCGCGGUAAAACGUAGGAGGCGAGCGUUAUCCGGAGUUACUGGGCGUAAAGCGCGUGUAGGCGGAUGUUCAAGUCAGUUGUGAAAGCUCCCGGCUAAACUGGGAGAGGUCGACUGAUACUGGGCGUCUGGAGUACGGGAGAGGGGUGUGGAAUUCCGGGUGUAGUGGUGAAAUGCGUAGAUAUCCGGAGGAACACCAGUGGCGAAGGCGGCACCCUGGCCCGAGACUGACGCUAAGACGCGAAAGCAUGGGUAGCGAACGGGAUUAGAUACCCUUGUAGUCC
This 292-nucleotide ribosomal RNA is filed under the name uncultured bacterium. RNAcentral describes it as "partial 16S ribosomal RNA". It matches the Rfam family "Bacterial small subunit ribosomal RNA", at positions 505 to 796 of the family's 1533-position model. The record is from RNAcentral.